Molecule: ribosomal RNA, 490 nt
Filed under: uncultured bacterium
Lineage: Bacteria
Description: partial 16S ribosomal RNA
Rfam family: Bacterial small subunit ribosomal RNA
Source: RNAcentral
GAUGAACGCUAGCGGCAGGCCUAAUACAUGCAAGUCGAACGGGAUCCCGAUCAAAGCUUGCUUUGGUCGGGUGAGAGUGGCGCACGGGUGCGUAAAGCGUGAGCAACCUACCCUUGUCAGGGGACUAGCCCGGCGAAAGUAGGAUUAAUACCGCAUGACAUCAUUGAGAGGCGUCUUUCGAUGAUCAACCAUUUAUCGGAGAAGGAUGGGCUCGCGUGCCAUUAGCUAGGUGGUACGGUAACGGCUUACCAAGGCUGCGAUGUGCCGGGGCUCGGAGAGGAGAAUCCCUCACAGGGGUACCGGGCACCGGACCAGACGCCUACGGCAGGCAGGAGUAAGGAAUAUUGGAUAAUGGACAGUAGUCUGAAGCAGGCAUGCCGGGUGCAGGAAGGCGGCGGUAGGGGUUGUAGACUUCUGUUAUAGGAGAGCAGACGUCGGUACGUGUACGGGUCUGAGGGUACCGUAAGAAUAAGGACCGGCUAACUCCGUG